UAUUACUGAAACGCAUAGGGGAAUCGA
RNAcentral lists this small RNA (27 nucleotides) under Bombyx mori (domestic silkworm). RNAcentral describes it as "piRNA piR-bmo-1402595". The record is from RNAcentral. Lineage: Eukaryota; Metazoa; Arthropoda; Insecta; Lepidoptera; Bombycidae.